UACGGGGGGUGCGAGCGUUGUCCGGAAUCACUGGGCGUAAAGGGCGCGUAGGCGGUGCGGUAAGUCACCUGUGAAACCUCUAGGCUCAACCUAGAGCCUGCAGGCGAAACUGCCGUGCUUGAGGGUGGGAGAGGUGCGUCGGAAUUCCGGUGUAGCGGUGAAAUGCGUAGAUAUCGGGAGGAACACCUGUGGCGAAAGCGGCGCACUGGACCACUUCUGACGCUGAGGCGCGAAAGCUAGGGGAGCAAACAGG
This 253-nucleotide ribosomal RNA is filed under the name uncultured bacterium. Its description in RNAcentral is "partial 16S ribosomal RNA". It matches the Rfam family "Bacterial small subunit ribosomal RNA", at positions 524 to 776 of the family's 1533-position model. The record is from RNAcentral.